RNAcentral lists this ribosomal RNA (305 nucleotides) under uncultured bacterium. Its description in RNAcentral is "bacterial SSU rRNA". It matches the Rfam family "Bacterial small subunit ribosomal RNA", at positions 333 to 656 of the family's 1533-position model. The record is from RNAcentral.
AUGUACCUAGGGGCGCAGCAGUGGGGGAUAUUGCACAAUGGGGGAAACCCUGAUGCAGCGACGCCGCGUGGGUGAAGAAGCGCCUCGGCGCGUAAAGCCCUGUCAGCAGGGAAGAAAAUGACGGUACCUGAAGAAGAAGCCCCGGCUAACUACGUGCCAGCAGCCGCGGUAAUACGUAGGGGGCAAGCGUUAUCCGGAUUUACUGGGUGUAAAGGGGGCGCAGACGGCGAUGCAAGCCAGGAGUGAAAGCCCGGGGCCCAACCCCGGGACUGCUCUUGGAACUGCGUGGCUAGAGUGCAGGGGGG